Molecule: ribosomal RNA, 253 nt
Filed under: uncultured bacterium
Lineage: Bacteria
Description: partial 16S ribosomal RNA
Rfam family: Bacterial small subunit ribosomal RNA
Source: RNAcentral
UACGAAGGGGGCUAGCGUUGCUCGGAAUCACUGGGCGUAAAGCGCACGUAGGCGGAUUGCUAAGUCAGGGGUGAAAUCCUGGAGCUCAACUCCAGAACUGCCUUUGAUACUGGCGACCUUGAGUCCGGGAGAGGUGAGUGGAACUGCGAGUGUAGAGGUGAAAUUCGUAGAUAUUCGCAAGAACACCAGUGGCGAAGGCGGCUCACUGGCCCGGUACUGACGCUGAGGUGCGAAAGCGUGGGGAGCAGACAGG